GAUGAACGCUGGCGGCGUGCCUAACACAUGCAAGUCGAACGGAGUCGUUUUGGAAAUCUCUUCGGAGAUGGAAUUCUCGACUUAGUGGCGGACGGGUGAGUAACGCGUGAGCAAUCUGCCUUUAAGAGGGGGAUAACAGUCGGAAACGGCUGCUAAUACCGCAUAAAGCAUUAAAUUCGCAUGUUUUUGAUGCCAAAGGAGCAAUCCGCUUUUAGAUGAGCUCGCGUCUGAUUAGCUAGUUGGCGGGGUAACGGCCCACCAAGGCGACGAUCAGUAGCCGGACUGAGAGGUGGAACGGCCACAUUGGGACUGAGACACGGCCCAGACUCCUACGGGAGGCAGCAGUGGGGAAUAUUGCGCAAUGGGGGAAACCCUGACGCAGCAACGCCGCGUGAUUGAAGAAGGCCUUCGGGUUGUAAAGAUCUUUAAUCAGGGACGAAACAAAUGACGGUACCUGAAGAAUAAGCGCCGGCUAACUACGUG
Molecule: ribosomal RNA, 483 nt
Filed under: uncultured bacterium
Lineage: Bacteria
Description: partial 16S ribosomal RNA
Rfam family: Bacterial small subunit ribosomal RNA
Source: RNAcentral